This 496-nucleotide ribosomal RNA is filed under the name uncultured bacterium. Its description in RNAcentral is "partial 16S ribosomal RNA". It matches the Rfam family "Bacterial small subunit ribosomal RNA", at positions 28 to 506 of the family's 1533-position model. The record is from RNAcentral.
GAUGAACGCUGGCGGCGUGCCUAAUACAUGCAAGUCGAGCGAACGGACGAGAAGCUUGCUUCUCUGAUGUUAGCGGCGGACGGGUGAGUAACACGUGGAUAACCUACCUAUAAGACUGGGAUAACUUCGGGAAACCGGAGCUAAUACCGGAUAAUAUUUUGAACCGCAUGGUUCAAAAGUGAAAGACGGUCUUGCUGUCACUUAUAGAUGGAUCCGCGCUGCAUUAGCUAGUUGGUAAGGUAACGGCUUACCAAGGCAACGAUGCAUAGCCGACCUGAGAGGGUGAUCGGCCACCCUGGACCUGAGACACGGUCCAGACUCCUACGGGAGGCAGCAGUAGGGAAUCUUCCGCAAUGGGCGAAAGCCUGACGGAGCAACGCCGCGUGAGUGAUGAAGGUCUUCGGAUCGUAAAACUCUGUUAUUAGGGAAGAACAUAUGUGUAAGUAACUGUGCCCAUCUUGACGGUACCUAAUCAGAAAGCCACGGCUAACUACGU